UACCGGCGGUCCAAGUCGCAUCCACAUUUAUUGGGUCUAAAACAUCCGUAGCUUGUUUUGUAAGUUUCUUGUGAAAUUUCAUAUCUCAAAUAUGAAGCGUGCAAGAAGUACUGCAUUGCUAGAGACCGGAAGGCGUAAGGAGUAUGAUUGAGGUAGUGGUAAAAUACGUUAAUCUUAAUCAGACUAACAAUGGCGAAGGCACCUUACGAGUACGGAUCUGACAGUGAGGGAUGAAGGCUAGGGGCGCGAAAGGGAUUAGAUACCCCUGUAGUCCUAGCAGUAAACACUGCUCACUAAACAUCGGUGCCUCCUCGAGAGGCGUCGGUGCUGUAGGGAAGCCGAAGAGUGAGCUACCUGGGAAGUAUAGUCGCAAGGCCGAAACUUAAAGGAAUUGGCGGGGAGGCACUACAACGGGUGACGCGUGCGGUUCAAUUAGAUUCUACACCGCGAACCUCACCAGGAGCGACAGCAGAAUGAAGGUCAGUCUAAAGGGCUUACCUGACGCGCUGAGAGGAGUUGCAUGGCCGACAUAAGCCUGUGUCGUGAGAUGACUUGUUAAAUCAAGUAACAGGCGAGACCCUCGUGUCUAAUUUCUACGCAAAGAGCACAUUAGACAGACUGCAUUGGUAACAAUGAGGAAGGUGGGGGCGAUGUUAGGUGUGUACAGCCCGAAUCCCCUGGGCAACACGCGCGCGGCAAUGUCACAUUCAAUGAGAUGCGACUCUGAAAAGAGAAGCUAAUCUCCUAAAGUGUGGCUUAGUACAGAUUGAGGUUUGCAACCCAACCUCAUGACGAUGGAAUCCGUAGUAAUCGUUCGUUAUCAGCGAACGGUGAAUAUGUCACGGCCUCU
RNAcentral lists this ribosomal RNA (850 nucleotides) under uncultured archaeon. RNAcentral describes it as "SSU rRNA". It matches the Rfam family "Archaeal small subunit ribosomal RNA", at positions 474 to 1337 of the family's 1478-position model. The record is from RNAcentral.